UACGAAGGGGGCUAGCGUUGCUCGGAAUUACUGGGCGUAAAGGGCGCGUAGGCGGAUAGAUUAGUCAGAGGUGAAAGCCCAGGGCUCAACCUUGGAAUUGCCUUUGAUACUGGCUAUCUUGAGUUCGGGAGAGGUGAGUGGAAUGCCGAGUGUAGAGGUGAAAUUCGUAGAUAUUCGGCGGAGCACCAGUGGCGAAGGCGACUCACUGGCCCGAUACUGACGCUGAGGCGCGAAAGCGUGGGGAGCAAACAGG
RNAcentral lists this ribosomal RNA (253 nucleotides) under uncultured bacterium. RNAcentral's name for it is "partial 16S ribosomal RNA". It matches the Rfam family "Bacterial small subunit ribosomal RNA", at positions 524 to 776 of the family's 1533-position model. The record is from RNAcentral.